AUAAUAUUGUACAUUGCCGUCUUCUGUUAUAUCUAUAGUGCUAAAUGUGACUCUCCUUUCUCUGUAAGGAUCUAUUUGUUCUGGUUCCUCAUAAUUGGAGUAGGCCUCAUUGUCAUAUUGUCUUUGUUCUACAGAGUUGGUUGCGGAGGAUGUUUUCUUCUUGGUGACCCUUCUCCAAAGUACAUCAAUACAAGGUCUUGCUAGGACUCCUAGGAUAAAGGCUAUCAGAAACGUGAUGAAAACAGACAAACACACAGCCAGAGCCAAGUCAGACUGUGUAGCUGUCAGAUUCCUUUCUUGUCCUAUCCUAGUUGGUGUGCCUUGUGGGAUUAUUUGUCGACUGGUUCCUGCGCAAGACAGGAGUAUCUCAGUGCCACUAUAGACCGUCACAUCUUGGUGGAGCUCUGGCCUGUUUUCAGUACUAAAACAGUUAAGAUCAUCCUCCUCCAACUGCAGCAGGUCUCUGCCUGAGAGGAUGGAGGGGGAAGCACACACCAUGCUCCAGGCCUGAAGGCCUCUGUCGCUGUCAUAGACCAUCCGCCUUCUUAGACUGCGCACACUGCAAUCACACUGCCAGCUGUUCCCACCCAGCCUAACAUUCGCCCCAAUGUUACGCAGAGAAAGGUACAUCAAAGGAUGGAGGCUGGUCAACAUGUUGAAGCUCAGAUCCAGAACCUUUGAGGGGAACACGAUAUGGACAUACAGCAGAUGUUGAGAAGUGAUUGUUAAAAUAAUUAAAUGAAAAGUUAUCUUAGUAAAAGCGACAUUGUCUUUUAAUUAGAUAAUACUUUUAUGAAAUUGACACUGUGAGACUGUGUGACAUCACUGAAUGUAUUGUUGGAAUACUGAAUACUCUGGCCAUGUUUUCAAUAAAUUAGAUUAAAAAAUCAGGGUUACCCGGAGCUGGGAUAAAUCCUGGAUCAUCUGUGGAUGGAGACUUGUGAUGAAGUUAUGUUGUAGGUGUAGCUCUUUUAACUGUUGAAGGUGGCUAAGGUCUCCUGGUCGUAGAGUUGAGAUCCUGUUGAAGGAGAGCUGCAGAACCUGUAAGGACACACUACCUUCCAGUCCUGGAUGACAGAAAACAAAAGCUGUAAUUAGAACUCAACAAUAACCAUGAUGGGGUGGCUUCUGGAGGGAGAAAGGAAUGUACUGUAUGUUAUAGGUUUUCUAUGAAAAUACCAGUUGGUCUCUCUCUCUCUCUGGUUUAUUUUAACUGUGAACACUUACAGUAUGACAUAUUGGGGGCUAUGAGACUUUUUUUCCGCUCAUUCCUUGCUGUCUGCCCCUUUUCACUAGACUGAGACAAUCUCCCUGAGAAUGCUGGGCUGAAGUAAGGCACUGUGGGUCUGUGCUUCAUUAGAGAGGCACUGAGGGUACUGUGAGCUGAAUACCAAGCAGGAAAGAAGUCUAUGACUGUCAACACAGCUCUUGCCAAGUAAAUGGGCUGUCCACAUAUGUCUUUAAAGGAACCAUAGUGAAUGCAUUUUGUUUUUUUAAAUACACAUAUGUUCAACCAAGCAGCAGGAAUUAUAUGAAUAACAUGAUGCAGGGGGAAACCUAAAAGUUGUACUGCAUGUUUACAACUUUCUAUGAGUCGCUGGAAUGUCAAUAAAACUGACUGGCUGAAGGGUGUACAGUGUCAUUAUCUUGUGAGGUUUAAUCAUUUCUGAGUGGAGCAAAGUACUAAAGAUAAAGGAUAUCAAUGAGGGGGUUUGUUUAUAUGUAAGAAUCAAAUGAAAGCAACACACACAGUUUAUAGACUUAUUCUACCAUCUGGACAAAGUAGACAACAUUUGGUAAAUAAUAUGCUUACAAGGUGGCCCUACCUUUCAGGUCUGACUCAUUGACAUUUCUCAACGACACUGCAGAGGGCAAUCAAAGGUGUGCAUAGUGUUGAUUGUGCAAGUUCACUAUCCGAUGCAUAAUCUUCAAUCACCCACCCACAUGGAAAAUGUCUUUUUAAAGACGGACAUUCAUGUGUAAUCUACGUGAUAAAAUUUACACGAUGCUAAUGGGACACGAAAGAAGUCAAAAAGGUUAAGCUACUCAAAGUAAAAAAAAAAUCAUCUUCUUUCCCCUAAGCUUUGCUUUGUUUGUGAAAUAUUAUUCACAAUAUUCUUUAUAUAUUAUUAUAUAAUACAAUAUGUGGCGCAAAUUUAUUUUAGUUCACUCCUCCACUCUGUCUCUGACUGUAGGUGUCAAACCCCCUCACAUUGCACUUCAUGUAACCAUUAAUAUUACUAUUUAACCUUAGAUCAUAUUGGGUUUGGUCUAUAACUCAUUAUAAGUGACGAUGCACUAAUGUGAACACUGCACUGUUCAUAAUUGAAGUUGGUAGUAUGAGUUCCUACUCGUAUUUGUUGCCAAUUAUAUCUUGAUUGUUACAUUUUUGUGUGUUGUGUGUAGGAUUAAUAAAUUCUAGCGUUUUUUAUACAGUACAUGUGUGUUGAGAAGUGUUGGAAAGUAAGUAAGUACAUUUACUCAAGUACAGUUUUGAGGUACUUGUAUUUUGCUUGAGUAUUUCCAUUACAGUGUUACUUUAUACUUGUACUCCAUUACAUUUCUGAGGGAAAUAUUGUACUUUAUAUCCAUCUGUUGAACAGCAAUUUCAGAUUAAGAUUUUACAUUAAAAACACAUGAUCAGUUUAUCAAACAUUAUGCAUUGUUAUAGAUUAAAUCAACCAUGUAUAAAAUAAAUUCAGUUAGCUCCCUCUUGACCUACUACACUAAAGCAUUAAAGUGCUGCGAACAUGUAAACACAUCAAUAAUAAUGAUCCAAUAUCAAAUAAAAUAAUAAUAAAACAUUAACAGGGCCAAUCCUGACUAUACUUUUUUCAA
Molecule: long non-coding RNA, 2838 nt
Filed under: Cottoperca gobio
Lineage: Eukaryota; Metazoa; Chordata; Actinopteri; Perciformes; Bovichtidae
Description: lncRNA (ENSCGOG00000022929.1)
Source: RNAcentral